UGCUCGAGUGGCGAACGGGUGAGUAACACGUGGGUGAUCUGCCCUGCACUUCGGGAUAAGCCUGGGAAACUGGGUCUAAUACCGGAUAGGACCAUCGUUUAGUGUCGGUGGUGGAAAGUUUUUCGGUGUGGGAUGAGCUCGCGGCUUAUCAGCUUGUUGGUGGGGUAAUGGCCUACCAAGGCGUCGACGGGUAGCCGGCCUGAGAGGGUGUACGGCCACAUUGGGACUGAGAUACGGCCCAG
Molecule: ribosomal RNA, 242 nt
Filed under: uncultured Actinomycetales bacterium
Lineage: Bacteria; Bacillati; Actinomycetota; Actinomycetes; Actinomycetales
Description: partial 16S ribosomal RNA
Rfam family: Bacterial small subunit ribosomal RNA
Source: RNAcentral